This 810-nucleotide ribosomal RNA is filed under the name uncultured bacterium. RNAcentral's name for it is "bacterial SSU rRNA". It matches the Rfam family "Bacterial small subunit ribosomal RNA", at positions 8 to 796 of the family's 1533-position model. The record is from RNAcentral.
AGAGUUUGAUCAUGGCUCAGAAUCAACGCUGGCGGCGUGCCUAACACAUGCAAGUCGAACGCGAAAGGGGCUUCGGCCCUGAGUAGAGUGGCGAACGGGUGAGUAACGCGUGGGUAACCUACCUUUGAGCGGGGGAUAACACCUCGAAAGGGGUGCUAAUACCGCAUCACAUUCUCCGGUCGAGAGAUCGGAGAAUCAAAGCCGGGGAUCGCAAGACCUGGCGCUUGAAGAGGGGCCCGCGUCCGAUUAGCUGGUUGGUAGGGUAAUGGCCUACCAAGGCGACGAUCGGUAGCCGGCCUGAGAGGGCGGACGGCCACACUGGGACUGAGACACGGCCCAGACUCCUACGGGAGGCAGCAGUGGGGAAUUGUUCGCAAUGGGCGCAAGCCUGACGACGCAACGCCGCGUGGAGGACGAAGAUCUUCGGGUCGUAAACUCCUGUCGAGCGGGACGAAUGGCCCGCGGGUGAAUAGCCUGCGGGAGUGACGGUACCGCGAGAGGAAGCCCCGGCUAACUCCGUGCCAGCAGCCGCGGUAAUACGGGGGGGGCAAGCGUUGUUCGGAAUUACUGGGCGUAAAGGGCUCGUAGGCGGCCAACUAAGUCAGACGUGAAAUCCCUCGGCUCAACCGGGGAACUGCGUCUGAUACUGGAUGGCUUGAAUCCGGGAGAGGGAUGUGGAAUUCCAGGUGUAGCGGUGAAAUGCGUAGAUAUCUGGAGGAACACCGGUGGCGAAGGCGGCUUUCUGGCUCAUUCCUGACGCUGAGGAGCGAAAGCGUGGGUAGCGAACGGGAUUAGAUACCCCCGUAGUCC